UAUCUGCCCUCAGGAGGGGGAUAACGGCUGGAAACGGCCGCUAAUACCCCAUAUGCCGAGAGGUGAAAAGAAAUUCGCCUGAGGAUGAGCCCGCGUCUGAUUAGCUAGUUGGUGGGGUAAGAGCUCACCAAGGCGACGAUCAGUAGCUGGUCUGAGAGGAUGAUCAGCCACACUGGGACUGAGACACGGCCCAGACUCCUACGGGAGGCAGCAGUGGGGAAUUUUCCGCAAUGGGCGAAAGCCUGACGGAGCAACGCCGCGUGAGGGAUGAAGGCCUCUGGGCUGUAAACCUCUUUUCUCAAGGAAGAAGACAUGACGGUACUUGAGGAAUAAGCCACGGCUAAUUCCGUGCCAGCAGCCGCGGUAAUACGGGAGUGGCAAGCGUUAUCCGGAAUUAUUGGGCGUAAAGCGUCCGCAGGCGGCCCUGUAAGUCUGUCGUUAAAGCGUGGAGCUUAACUCCAUUUAAGCGAUGGAAACUACAGGGCUUGAGUGUGGUAGGGGCAGAGGGAAUUCCCGGUGUAGCGGUGAAAUGCGUAGAUAUCGGGAAGAACACCAGUGGCGAAGGCGCUCUGCUGGGCCAUAACUGACGCUCAUGGACGAAAGCCAGGGGAGCGAAAGGGAUUAGAUACCCCUGUAGUCCUGGCCGUAAACGAUGAACACUAGGUGUCGGGGGAAUCGACCCCCUCGGUGUCGUAGCCAACGCGUUAAGUGUUCCGCCUGGGGAGUACGCACGCAAGUGUGAAACUCAAAGGAAUUGACGGGGGCCCGCACAAGCGGUGGAGUAUGUGGUUUAAUUCGAUGCAACGCGAAGAACCUUACCAGGGUUUGACAUCCUGCGAAUCCCUUGGAAACGAGGGAGUGCCUUCGGGAGCGCAGAGACAGGUGGUGCAUGGCUGUCGUCAGCUCGUGUCGUGAGAUGUUGGGUUAAGUCCCGCAACGAGCGCAACCCACGUCUUUAGUUGCCAGCAUUCAGUUGGGCACUCUAGAGAGACCGCCGGUGAUAAACCGGAGGAAGGUGUGGAUGACGUCAAGUCAUCAUGCCCCUUACAUCCUGGGCUACACACGUACUACAAUGCUACGGACAAAGGGCAGCAAGCUCGCGAGAGUUAGCAAAUCCCAUAAACUGUGGCUCAGUUCAGAUCGUAGGCUGCAACUCGCCUACGUGAAGGAGGAAUCGCUAGUAAUCGCAGGUCAGCAUACUGCGGUGAAUACGUUCCCGGGCCUUGUACACACCGCCCGUCACACCAUGGAAGUUGGCCAUGCCCGAAGUCGUUACUCCAACCC
Molecule: ribosomal RNA, 1284 nt
Filed under: metagenome
Description: bacterial SSU rRNA
Rfam family: Bacterial small subunit ribosomal RNA
Source: RNAcentral